AUCGGCUAAUUCACAAGUCUGCAAGUUCCCGAAGUUGGAUAAAAAAAAUAGGCGAGAAGCGAAUGGAUAGCAGAAGCUGUUUCAAGUCAAGUAAACUGUCUGAGUGCCAUGAUGAUGAUCAAUUUCAUCAGCUCUAUUGGAAGAGCAAAUUUGUCAUGAAGACAAACCACUGUUAUGGAUAGGAUUAUAGUAAAAGUGUUGUCAAGUCAAGGUUGCAGCAGUGCUUUAUUCUACGCCUUUGUGUCCAACGAAUAUGUGGAACCCGGGUAACUUAAGCUUAACAAACAAAUAAUUCUUGCAAUAAUUCUAAAACAUUUGGAGGAAACAUAGUUAUGUCAAUUUUUCGUCACUUGGCGAGUCUUCCGCAGAAGAAAUAAAUAAAACUUUUAAAUAGCAACGAAAGCAACGACUAUGAUUGCACCUGUGUCUGUGUGCAUUACGUUGACACAUUCCUGUCUCAAAGCUGUAGAGCCAGGAUAAAAUUUAGCACCUCUUCCGAAUUGAUUCUAUACUUUUUCCAUUUCUUGAAUGUCAGUACAUUUAGCAUUCAUUUGAACAAAUGAAUAUUAGUUAUUUUUGCAAUACAAAUUUUCAAAAUAAUAAAAUGUUAAAUAUGUAGAAGCCUGUGGUCCAGAACUUGCCAGGGAUAGGUUUUCAGCUGAAGUGUGUUCAUUUCGUCUGUUUUCACUCUAAGUAGGAUGUGGGUUCUGUAAUUUAAGUCUGUUUGUUGAUGGCGCCCGUCAAUGGUUGGAAAACAAGUUUUAUUGUUCUAAUAAUUGUGAAAGUUUGAUGUGAGGGCAUUUUUUAUUAUUAUUAACCUGUAGUAGUGUAGCAAAACUAGAUCAUAACUACCAUGUCAAGUGGCCCGCGCAAUUAUUAAUGAAUCACAUGUGUCCCUUCGACCAAAAAGGUUGGCCGACCCUGUUGUAGACUAUAACAGUAGUGGGAAGAAUUCUAUUUAUGAUAAAUUGUUAUUAUUUUGACAUUUCGGGUAAUGCGCGUCAGCUCUUCGUAGUUCUGCCGCCGAGCUUGUUUUGCUUCGGCAAAAUCAACGAAAUACAUCAAAAACCGACUUUGCAAAGACAGCAAAUUACAACAAAAUCGGGUU
Molecule: non-coding RNA, 1108 nt
Organism: Styela clava
Lineage: Eukaryota; Metazoa; Chordata; Ascidiacea; Stolidobranchia; Styelidae
Source: RefSeq, a predicted model, not a curated record